RNAcentral lists this ribosomal RNA (522 nucleotides) under uncultured Glomeromycotina. Its description in RNAcentral is "SSU rRNA". It matches the Rfam family "Eukaryotic small subunit ribosomal RNA", at positions 569 to 1092 of the family's 1831-position model. Lineage: Eukaryota; Fungi; Glomeromycota. The record is from RNAcentral.
AGCAGCCGCGGUAAUUCCAGCUCCAAUAGCGUAUAUUAAAGUUGUUGCAGUUAAAAAGCUCGUAGUUGAAUUUCGGGGUUAGUAGGUUGGUCAUGCCUCUGGUAUGUACUGGUCUCACUGAUUCCUCCUUCCUGAUGAACCUUAAUGCCAUUAAUUUGGUGUUUUGGGGAACUUGGACUGUUACUUUGAAAAAAUUAGAGUGUUUAAAGCAAGCUAACGCUUGAAUACAUUAGCAUGGAAUAAUGAAAUAGGACGUUCGAUCCUAUUUUGUUGGUUUCUAGGAUUGACGUAAUGAUUAAUAGGGAUAGUUGGGGGCAUUAGUAUUCAAUUGUCAGAGGUGAAAUUCUUGGAUUUAUUGAAGACUAACUACUGCGAAAGCAUUUGCCAAGGAUGUUUUCAUUAAUCAAGAACGAAGGUUAGGGGAUCGAAGACGAUCAGAUACCGUCGUAGUCUUAACCAUAAACUAUGCCGACUAGGGAUCGGAUGAUGUUAAUUUUUUAAUGACUCAUUCGGCGCCUUACG